CUGGUGAGGUGUGUUUAUUAGAAUGAAAACCAUAUGCUUCGGCAUGAUAGUGAGUAAUAGUAACCCAUCGUAUCGCAUGCUUAAUGUAGCGAUGAGUCUUUCAAGUUUCUGCCCUAUCAGCUUUCGAUGGUAGUAUAUGGGCCUACCAUG
RNAcentral lists this ribosomal RNA (150 nucleotides) under Blastocystis sp. Its description in RNAcentral is "partial 18S ribosomal RNA". It matches the Rfam family "Eukaryotic small subunit ribosomal RNA", at positions 193 to 348 of the family's 1831-position model. The record is from RNAcentral. Lineage: Eukaryota; Bigyra; Opalinata; Blastocystidae.